Long non-coding RNA from Limulus polyphemus (Atlantic horseshoe crab), 524 nucleotides. RefSeq lists it as uncharacterized. The transcript is spliced from 3 exons. The record is from RefSeq and is a predicted model, not a curated record. Lineage: Eukaryota; Metazoa; Arthropoda; Merostomata; Xiphosura; Limulidae.
UUUCCUCGAGGUCAGGUCAAUGUGAAGAGGUUUACAAAAUUAAUUCAUCAAGUAAAGUAAAAAAUAUAUAUUAUUUUAUAAGUUUUCGAAAUAUUACAGUUUACGAUGACGUCGGGUGUAAUUUCUCGUCUUGUUGGAAGGAAAUAUGCCGAAUUAGCUAAAAGUUGGUCUAAAACUGGAGUUCUUUUUGGUACAACAGGAACAUUAGGGAUUUUAUAUUUUACUGACUGGAAACUAGUUUUACAGUAUCUUCCCUUUUACAACACAAAGUUCAGAGAAGACUCUCCGUAGUUCAGUUAUUAGAUGUAAAAACACAAGUAAAUAAAAAAAGGGUUAUGGCUGCAAUGAAAUGGAAUAUGAUCAUAUUUUAUUCAUCACAAGUAGAUGCUGAGUGAAUUACUGUAACUGUCUUGCAACAUUAUAAUUAACUAGUGUAUACAUUUUCAAGAGAAUAGCAGUCUCGUUCACGAUUGUAUUAGAAAGAAAAGAGAAUAAAUACUGAAAUGUACAACUUAUAAAAUAUA